This 305-nucleotide unclassified non-coding RNA is filed under the name Mucor sp. RNAcentral describes it as "partial contains 5.8S ribosomal RNA, internal transcribed spacer 2, and large subunit ribosomal RNA". RNAcentral also lists the same sequence under 1 other name. Lineage: Eukaryota; Fungi; Mucoromycota; Mucoromycetes; Mucorales; Mucoraceae. The record is from RNAcentral.
AACGCAUCUUGCGCUCAUUGGUAUUCCAAUGAGCACGCCUGUUUCAGUAUCAGAAACACCCCACAUUCAAAAUCUUUUUUUUGAAUGGAACUGAGAGUUUUUACGGUUUGAUUUUUUUGAAGUCAAGCUGUUCUCUUUAAAGAUAUUAGGCCUGAAAUUUUAGUUUUUUUGUUGCCUGAACUUUUUUUUUAAUAUAAAGGAAAAGCUCUGGUCAAUUUUUAAAAAAGCUUAUUAUGUUGGGGCCUCCCAAAUAAAUCUCUCUUAAAUUUGAUCUGAAAUCAGGCGGGAUUACCCGCUGAACUUAA